This 723-nucleotide ribosomal RNA is filed under the name Meristogenys kinabaluensis (Kiau Borneo frog). RNAcentral's name for it is "partial 12S ribosomal RNA". The stretch from base 1 to 474 matches the Rfam family "Bacterial small subunit ribosomal RNA", at positions 864 to 1533 of the family's 1533-position model. The record is from RNAcentral. Lineage: Eukaryota; Metazoa; Chordata; Amphibia; Anura; Ranidae.
UCUCCACGCCAGGGUAUUACGAGUCAAACUUAAAACCCAAAGGACUUGACGGUGUCCCACCCACCUAGAGGAGCCUGUUCUAUAAUCGAUAAUCCCCGUUUUACCUAACCAUUUUUUGCCUAAUCAGUCUGUAUACCUCCGUCGUAAGCUUACCAUGUGAACGCCUAUAGUAAGCCCAAUGGCCACCCGCCAAUACGUCAGGUCAAGGUGCAACUUAUACCAUGGUAAGUAAUGGGCUACAAUUUCUAAGAUAGAACAAACGAAAGGCUGUUUGAAACCCCAGUCACGAAGGAGGAUCUAACAGUAAAAAGAAAAUAGAGAGUUCUUUUUAACCUGGCACUGGGACGCGUACACACCGCCCGUCACCCUCUUCAACAAUCUUUUUCUCGAUAACUAACUAAUUAAUUUCAUCUUAGAAGAGGCAAGUCGUAACACGGUAGGGGUACUGGAAAGUGCCCCUGGCAUACACCAAAAUGUAGCUUAACAAAAGCCCUUCGCUUACACCGAAGUAAUAUCUGUUAAAUUCGGAUCAUUUUGAGCCUAAAAUCUAGCCCCACCCACUCAUAUGCCUCUUUCAAUCAAUCAACUAAAAAUAAACCAUUUUAACUUCUUAGUACAGGCGAUCGAAAAAUUUCUAUGGCGCUUAAAAUUCAGUACCGCAAGGGAAUAGUGAAAUAAUAAUGAAACAACCUUAAAGCUUCAAAUAGCAGAGAAUUAACCUCG